UACGUAGGGGGCAAGCGUUGUCCGGAUUCAUUGGGCGUAAAGAGCGUGUAGGCGGCCUGAAAGGUCAGCUGUGAAAACUCGAGGCUCAACCUCGAGACGUCGGUUGAAACCAUCUGGCUAGAGUCCGGAAGAGGAGUGUGGAAUUCCCGGUGUAGCGGUGAAAUGCGCAGAUAUCGGGAAGAACACCGAUGGCGAAGGCGAUCACCUGGGGUUCAACUGACGCUGAGGAGCGAAAGCUAGGGGAGCAAACGGG
Molecule: ribosomal RNA, 253 nt
Filed under: uncultured bacterium
Lineage: Bacteria
Description: partial 16S ribosomal RNA
Rfam family: Bacterial small subunit ribosomal RNA
Source: RNAcentral